This is a long non-coding RNA of Mauremys reevesii (Reeves's turtle), 1103 nucleotides long. RefSeq lists it as uncharacterized. The record is from RefSeq and is a predicted model, not a curated record. The transcript has 3 exons. NCBI's taxonomy places the organism in Eukaryota, Metazoa, Chordata, Testudines, Geoemydidae.
UGGUUUGUGCGCCUGCGCGAUACGAGUGGGGCGAGAACGAGUGUUUCUUAGUCGAGACCGCGAUAAAAAUAGAACCAGGCGCAAAACUGUGUGCGCCUGCGUCAGACGAGGAGCUGCUUCCUUUUCUGAUGGGCUGCUGCAAGGAAAGAAUCAACUUCAAUGGCAAAUUCCACAGCGUCUUGAAGUGUCCUUGGCCUCCUUUCACUGACCUGAAAGCCAAAUCCAGAUGAGCAUCUAUGAAUUGGUCAAUUGCUAAUUUAUCCUGGAAGGACUUGUUAGUAUCUGGAUAUGCCAGGAGCACGAGUCUCCUCUGGUCCUCUGCCAGUUCAGGUGGGGUCCCUUUUAUCCAUCUCAUUCUAGCUCUUAGCUGUGCCCUGGCCAGCUCAGAUGGAUGGUUGGUGCUGAACUGCAUAUCAAGAGCGUGUACCGGAUGUGUUUAGUCAAUCUCUUUUCUGGAGCUUUCCCAAUCUGCAGCAGACGCCUGGGCCAAUAUAGUUUCAUGGACCAUUCCAAGAGGAAGUGUUUCCAUGAUGAACUUAUGGUUGAAGUUCUGGACAAGGCUAACCAGCAGGCCCACUACCAAAGACAGAGGGACUUGUGGCUAGAGGAAGGCCAUGCUGCAAGGCAACAGGACAUGCUUGGGCUGGCUGCACAGCUUGAGGACUGGAUUUCAGUGUGCGAGUAGGCACUUGCUUUUCAGUUCCUGGAACAGGAACGUGACUAAGUGAGGAGGACAGAGCUCAGCAGAAAGAGCUGCUUGAGUGGCUUAUCUCACUAAUGACAAGAGUAGUGGCUCCUGCUGCAUCACCCACACCAUGGCCUGAGUCCCCUGCGCGCUAACCUAUGCUGCGGUCCAAAAGCAGCUUGGAAGACUCCAUGGCUGGGUGACACAUGCAAUCAGGCCCCAUAAGUGGCUGGGCACCCUGCACCAUACAGCCUUCCAUAUUGACCUCCUCCCCUGUGGAUGCCUGCAUCUCCCUCCCACAGCAUCACUAGCACAGGAAAGGAGAACAGGACGCCAGGGGUAGAGUGUUUCUGUCUUGUACAUGAUUUCACUGUUUGCACUUCCAUGCACUUUGUUUUGAUUUUUUCCCCUGUAAGGU